RNAcentral lists this long non-coding RNA (3468 nucleotides) under Suricata suricatta (meerkat). Its description in RNAcentral is "lncRNA (ENSSSUG00005011099.1)". Lineage: Eukaryota; Metazoa; Chordata; Mammalia; Carnivora; Herpestidae. The record is from RNAcentral.
GGCACCUUCCCUGCAGCCUAGCCGCGGCGUGCGUCGUGCCCAAAAAGAAGAGGCAGAACAGACAGUAUUUGCCAGGGGUUACACUGCAGAAGCCUGAGAAGCUUUACAACACCCACCGGUGGCGCGCGGGUGGGCUCGAGAGUUCUCUUCAUCCACGUGUCUGCUUCGGCGAGGCGAACCCUGGGAGAGUGGUCUUCCCUCAGAAAGAGGUGUAUUCAGUCACCCCUCCUUUGAGACCUCCCUCAUUCCCCCCUUCUUGCACCUUCCCCAGGGUUCCAAAAGCGAAGCAAAAAUCUUCACAGAACACAUUACCAUUUCCACUCUCAAUCCGGUAUGAAAUGAUCUAACUUCUCCAUACUCUUGGCACACAUAUCCCUCAACUUUGGUUACUGGUGCUCAAACAGACUUAGUUAUAUCGCAGAUCCACCUACCACCGAGGGCAGAGACCUACUAGACAAUUUAACUGAUGCGGUAAAUCUUAUGAACAGAGAACGAACCAAAGGCUGACCACGGAGGAAAAAAGAAAAUAACACCUGUUCUUCCCACCUGUUUUCCCCGCCCUCAUUUCUGCACUUACUAGCCACCGGUCUUUGUUUACCAAGUUCCCACUCCCGUACGGUUCACUUCCUCGCCUUCCAUACUAAACUCGCGCGCGGUGCUGCUUAAACAACUUGCCCGGAAAUUACAAGCUAAAAAAGACGUUUACACAGGUGUCAAAAAGCUGCACACAGCUCCUUAAAAAGCGACGUCAGCACCGUUCCCUCAGAGUUUUUUGAACCCCGAGACCUGAGCUCUAAAAUGCAAAGCGCACAAGCAGAGCUCUCGACCUAAGCCCCGCGCCGCGCUGGAAGUCAUCACGCGGAGCGUACCAUGCGGUGCAGCACCCCACGCACGCGAGGGCUGGGCCGCGCCAAGGGCGCUUCUCACCCCGCCCGCCUCGUGGCCGCUCUCUCUGGCGUCGAUGUUACCAGUGAGUUCGCUGCGCGACGCGGAAGUGAGGCCGGGAACGCGCGCGAGGUGACAUGCGCAGCCUCGCUCAGGGGGCCACAGGCGCGCGCCAAAGGCGCCCCGCGCAAGGCCCGGCCUGGCUGGGGCGUGCGAAGAUCGCACAGAAGAACGCUUCUCACGCUGUUCAAAUCCACAAGCGCUUCAAACUCUCGAGAAACUCCAAUCGGGCCAAUACUAAAGAGACGCCCUCCACCCAGGCCCGAGAGUUACCGUGCGGGGCGUGGCCGGCCUCACCCGGAGUCCUUCACAUCCCGCUGGGGGCGGGUUAUUCUGUUCGGUUCGCACACCGUGUGUCCGCUCCAGCUGAAGAGCCUGCGCGCGCACCGGACGUCCACGUCACCGCGCACGCGCUCCUACCCGCUCAGAGCCCACCGCGCAAGCGCAAAAGGAGGCGCGAGCAGCACCUCCCUCGCCCCUCCCCCAACACCAGGAGGCCAAACGGCCCCGGAGCAGCGACAAGACCCUUGGGACCCGCCCCUGGAGCUCAAGCCGCUGGUUUUCCGGGUCCCAGAAACCGAUAAAAGGCUAAUGAAGCUUCCAGAAUCAAGAAAGGUUUGGAUAGCGCCAGACCGUCGGGAAACGUUGAAGAAAAGACGGAGACGAGUGGUCGAGUCUGCAACAUCCACAAAAGAAGAACACUAAGAAAGGAGACCGAAAACUCCACUACCAAAUGGGAAAGGAAGAAGAGUUGCCACUACUUGCCUGAUAUAAAUAUGAAAGAUGUCCUAAUAAAACAGUAAAAAGUGGAAACAAGAAUUUCGCAUCACAGAGUAUUAUCUAAGCUUUUAUGCCUUGAUCCUGCGUUUUCAGUUUUUGUUUGGUCAAGAUAUUUAAGCUAUGAAGUGCAAAGGGAAAAUUGCUCAAUAUCUGUUAUGCCAGGCAGAUGCUGAACUAAUAAUUAAAGAACAAUAUUUCUCCCAACCAAACAUCAAAAUUAUUUCUUCUUCCCUACUCCUUAUCAGGCACUCUUCUGAGCUACUGACACUCAAGUUUUUUUAAAAAGGGAGAGUUGUUCAAAGUGAGAGCGAAGAGGCAAAAUAGAAGUCCGUAGUAAGAGCAGAAAUUGGUCCAUGUUUCCGAACUGUAUUCUUUCACUUUCAGAAGAAUUAGCAAGUACUGAGAACAUAUUAAUUACUAGAUGACUUAAUACAAAAUACUAUGAAGAAAAAUGAGAGAGUUGAAAGAAAGGAGCCAAGGAGAUCCUUAUCCCACCAAGACUGAUCAGAGCUGGACUCCAGGCAUGUUAGGAAGAAGGGUCUUUUUUCUUUCAUUCGGCUCUCCCUCUGCCACACAAUGGGAAGAAACUGCUGGAAUUAGUAUGGACUGGAAAAUGUGUAGGUUAAAGAUUAGAGGCUUCUGAAGUUCCUCUGAAACCCCCAUUCAGGCAUGGUCAACAAGAGCAUCACAAGCACAACAAAUGAGUAAUACACAAGAUUAUAUAUAGAUAGAUAUACUCUUCCCUGACCCCAAAAAUCUUUUCCCACCUUGUCAGAAUCUCCCACUCUUCCAAGAAUGCCUUCCUCUCAAGGGUGUUAAGUUUCCUCAUACAAACUUAAAGGCAGAAAUAAAAUAUGUUGACUUAGCAUUAAAGCAUCUGAUUCUAAGAUGUAAAUGACUGAUUACCAGUUAACCACCACACCCAUGGUAGUUACAUCCCAAAAGAUACAAGUUAAUAUAAGUGAUAUCUCUCAUUGGAGAAUCUCAAAGGAUACCCUGGAAGACAGGGAAAGUGAAGAUUUUCUUUCUGUCUCCCUACAACAAGCAAACAUUAUGAAAUGCCAGAUCUUUUAAAACCACUACCAUAUUGUGAAGAUUCAGCACUGGAUCUCCUAGUGGAAAAAAUAAACUAUGCAUAGUAGUUCAAAGUAGGGUCUGCCUACCCUGUAAAGGUCUAGAGAUGUACUACCAAGAAUCUGGGUGGCUCAGUCAGUUAAGUAACUGGCUCUUGAUCUAGGUGCAGAUCAUGAUCCCAAGGUUGUAGGAUCAAGCCCCGAGUCAGGGUCCACACUGAGCAUGGAGCCUGCUUGGAAUUCUCUUUCCUCUCUGCCCUCCCCUGCUCCUUUGUGCCUGCUUAUGCUCACACUCUCAAAAAAAAAAAUGGGGGAGCGGGCACCUGGGUGGCUCAGUCAGUUACCCAUCCGACUCUUGAUUUUGGCUCAGAUCAUGAUCUCACGGUUCACUUUUAGACAGGAGCCUACUUGGGAUUCUCUCCACCCUCCACCCCCUUCCCUGCUUGUGAUCAUGCACCCUUUUCUCUCUCUCAAAAUAAAUGAAUACACAUUUUUUUUAAACCUGAGAAUUUGUUAUGUUGUUUUUAUUUAGUCUAAAACUGAUAUUGCCACACAAUUUCAGUGACCCAUUUUUUUUAACAUGCUAGUACCAAGUAACCACUUCUUUCUUUGCUUUUUCAAGUACCCUCUUAAAUGGCUAAACUCUUAACGCAGUGUUUCUCAAUCUUGG